GCCAGCGUGGUAUAGUGGUUUGAGUGCUGGACUACAACUCUGAAGACAAGGGUUCAAACCCCUGCACAGCCA
Molecule: non-coding RNA, 72 nt
Organism: Phrynosoma platyrhinos (Desert horned lizard)
Lineage: Eukaryota; Metazoa; Chordata; Lepidosauria; Squamata; Phrynosomatidae
Source: the annotation of a GenBank genome assembly